RNAcentral lists this ribosomal RNA (422 nucleotides) under uncultured bacterium. Its description in RNAcentral is "bacterial SSU rRNA". It matches the Rfam family "Bacterial small subunit ribosomal RNA", at positions 359 to 774 of the family's 1533-position model. The record is from RNAcentral.
GAAUCUUCCGCAAUGGACGAAGGUCUGACGGAGCAACGCCGCGUGAGUGACGAAGGUUUUCGGAUCGUAAAACUCUGUUGAGAGGGAAGAACAAGUACCAAUUAACUACUGGUACCUUGACGGUACCCUACCAGACAGCCACGGCUAACUACGUGCCCGCCGCCGCGGUAAUACGUAGGUGGCAAGCGUUGUCCGGAAUUAUUGGGCGUAAAGCGCGCGCAGGCGGUCCCUUAAGUCUGAUGUGAAAGCCCACGGCUCAACCGUGGAGGGUCAUUGGAAACUGGGGGACUUGAGUGCAGAAGAGGAAAGUGGAAUUCCAUGUGUAGCGGUGAAAUGCGUAGAGAUGUGGAGGAACACCAGUGGCGAAGGCGACUUUCUGGUCUGUAACUGACGCUGAGGCGCGAAAGCGUGGGGAGCAAACA